GUCAGGAUGGUCGAGCGGUCUAAGGCGCCAGAUUCAAGUUCUGGCCUCCACUUGGAGGCGUGGGUUCGAAUCCCACUCCUGUCA
This 84-nucleotide transfer RNA is filed under the name Acropora cervicornis. Its description in RNAcentral is "tRNA-Leu". It matches the Rfam family "tRNA". From Rfam's summary of the family: Transfer RNA (tRNA) molecules are approximately 80 nucleotides in length. Their secondary structure includes four short double-helical elements and three loops (D, anti-codon, and T loops). The record is from RNAcentral. Lineage: Eukaryota; Metazoa; Cnidaria; Anthozoa; Scleractinia; Acroporidae.